UAUGAAAAAUAAAUAAGGAAAGAAAAACUGCCACAGACUUACCGAUAAGUUGAUCACCGCUCUUUGACUCAACAAGACUUUUGAGGACUCAUGCUUCCCGAAGAACUUGAAAAAGCUAAAUUAGCAAAAAGGCUAAGCUUUCAAGAAUUUUUCUCAAAUUGAUUGUAAUUGAUGUGUUUACAACUUGUGGGCAAAUACCUAUUUAUAACCUUUCUCGGGUGACGCGAGAGGAUUUAGAGAAGAUCGAAUCAACUCCUAUAACCCACUC
This 268-nucleotide long non-coding RNA is filed under the name Carica papaya (papaya). Its description in RNAcentral is "long non-coding RNA (CPAP_LNC011477)". Lineage: Eukaryota; Viridiplantae; Streptophyta; Magnoliopsida; Brassicales; Caricaceae. The record is from RNAcentral.